Molecule: ribosomal RNA, 229 nt
Filed under: uncultured bacterium
Lineage: Bacteria
Description: partial 16S ribosomal RNA
Rfam family: Bacterial small subunit ribosomal RNA
Source: RNAcentral
CGCGUAGGCGGUCUUUUAAGUCAGGUGUGAAAGCCCGGGGCUCAACCCCGGAAGUGCACUUGAAACUAAGAGACUUGAGUAUGGGAGAGGGAAGUGGAAUUCCUGGUGUAGCGGUGAAAUGCGUAGAUAUCAGGAGGAACACCGGUGGCGAAGGCGACUUCCUGGACCAAUACUGACGCUGAGGCGCGAAGGCGUGGGUAGCGAACAGGAUUAGAUACCCUGGUAGUCC